This 108-nucleotide ribosomal RNA is filed under the name uncultured bacterium. RNAcentral's name for it is "partial 16S ribosomal RNA". It matches the Rfam family "Bacterial small subunit ribosomal RNA", at positions 1373 to 1482 of the family's 1533-position model. The record is from RNAcentral.
CCCGGGCCUUGUACACACCGCCCGUCACACCACGAAAGUUGGUAACACCCGAAGCCAGUGGCCCAACCAUUGGAGGGAGCUGUCGAAGGUGGGACCAGCGAUUGGGUG